UUCACUAUUUCAUUGAGGACCUUUGGUGAUUUUCUAAAGUUUUCAAUCUCUGAAACGGAUUCUGGUCCUUUUCGAGCUGAAAUAAUUUGAGUUCAACUAGUUUUAAAGACUUUGGUUCAAGUGUUUGAUAUCGUUCUGAUUACUGGGCAUUGCUUACUGUUUCUGCUGAUUUUAAAUCUGGUUCAAGUUGAUUUUUUCUGCUGUUUCUGGGUUGGAUAUACUGCGCUAUUGUUAUUUACUGCUAUCAUGCUGAUCUUCCUCUUCUCUCCUUGUUUUAUUACUAGGCACAUUCUCGAAUCAUACUGUCAUGUAGCUGUUGAAAAAUGAAAGGCAAUGCUCGAAUAGUAUAGUUUUUUCAAUUGUGCUGGUAACUUAAUAGUCAAAUAAUAGGUAGUUUUAUGAUCUAUCUUUGUAAUUCUAUAAAGAAUGUGGACUAUAGAAUUUAUAUUGACU
Molecule: long non-coding RNA, 453 nt
Filed under: Nicotiana benthamiana
Lineage: Eukaryota; Viridiplantae; Streptophyta; Magnoliopsida; Solanales; Solanaceae
Description: long non-coding RNA (NBEN_LNC026365)
Source: RNAcentral